CUAUCUACAUGCCAAAAGCUGGGAGGGGAGGGGCUGCAAUCUGUUUGGGGGUUGAAGAAGCCAUCGUUUUGAAAUUCACCUUUCAAACGGAUAAUGCGUGUAAUUCUCUAACAUGGUUUGAUGCUUUGGUCACAGAUAUCUCGACACACCCGAUCCGACCAAUAACCAUGAUGGAAGACAAUGAAUCGGUGGUUUAUAUUUCUGAAUCACAUUUCACAGGUUCUAGGUCCAGACACAUUGACAUCCGUUAUCAAAACAUAAAACAAUUAGUGAAGCAAGGUUUUGUUAAAUUGCAGUAUGUAUCUACACAUGGUCAAAUUGCAGACAUGCUCAACAAACCACUUCCAGCAGCUCAACACGAGUAUCUGCGUAAGAAGAUGUGCCUUAUUUGAUGAUGUACCUGAUGUUCGCUCAGCUGACAAAGAAGGGGAUUGUCACUGCAUUUUUUUGUAUUUGUCAGCUGGGCUCCCAUUCUGAGACUUAUGGUAGACUGAUUUGACUCUUAUCUCAGAAGCCACUGCACAUGUCCACAUUCUUUCACAUUCUUUCACUUUCUUCUAACUUUCUUUGUUCGCCUGCCAAGAGGCAAGGCAGGAACGCUGCCAAGAUGUAAUUAAUUAGCUAGUAAGGUGUUUUUACUUCUUUAUAAUAAAAUGUGUUUCUUAGAAUGUA
Molecule: non-coding RNA, 672 nt
Organism: Pantherophis guttatus
Lineage: Eukaryota; Metazoa; Chordata; Lepidosauria; Squamata; Colubridae
Source: RefSeq, a predicted model, not a curated record